UACGUAGGGUGCGAGCGUUGUCCGGAAUUAUUGGGCGUAAAGAGCUCGUAGGCGGUUUGUCACGUCUGCUGUGAAAUCCCGAGGCUCAACCUCGGGCCUGCAGUGGGUACGGGCAGACUGGAGUGCGGUAGGGGAGAAUGGAAUUCCUGGUGUAGCGGUGGAAUGCGCAGAUAUCAGGAGGAACACCGAUGGCGAAGGCAGUUCUCUGGGCCGAUACUGACGCUGAGGAGCGAAAGCUAGGGGAGCAAACGGG
Molecule: ribosomal RNA, 253 nt
Filed under: uncultured bacterium
Lineage: Bacteria
Description: partial 16S ribosomal RNA
Rfam family: Bacterial small subunit ribosomal RNA
Source: RNAcentral